This 253-nucleotide ribosomal RNA is filed under the name uncultured bacterium. RNAcentral's name for it is "partial 16S ribosomal RNA". It matches the Rfam family "Bacterial small subunit ribosomal RNA", at positions 524 to 776 of the family's 1533-position model. The record is from RNAcentral.
UACGAAGGGAGCUAGCGUUGUUCGGAAUCACUGGGCGUAAAGUGCACGUAGGCGGAUGUGUCAGUCAGGGGUGAAAUCCUGGAGCUCAACUCCAGAACUGCCUUUGAUACUGAGAAGCUUGAGUCCGGGAGAGGUGAGUUGAACUGCGAGUGUAGAGGUGAAAUUCGUAGAUAUUCGCAAGAACACCAGUGGCGAAGGCGGCUCACUGGCCCGGUACUGACGCUGAGGUGCGAAAGCGUGGGGAGCAAACAGG